Molecule: microRNA precursor, 145 nt
Filed under: Prunus persica (peach)
Lineage: Eukaryota; Viridiplantae; Streptophyta; Magnoliopsida; Rosales; Rosaceae
Description: miR160b stem-loop (ppe-MIR160b)
Gene: ppe-MIR160b
Rfam family: mir-160 microRNA precursor family (bases 31-116)
About the family: The hairpin precursors (represented here) are predicted based on base pairing and cross-species conservation -- their extents are not known.
Source: miRBase by way of RNAcentral
UGAACAUACGCAUAGAUAUACAAAGUAUAUAUGUGCCUGGCUCCCUGUAUGCCAUUUGCAGAGUCCCACCGAACAUCGAUGGCCUCCGUGGAUGGCGUAUGAGGAGCCAUGCAUAUAAACCCAUGUGUUUCCUGUGUGUGUUUCA